This is a long non-coding RNA of Mugil cephalus (flathead mullet), 1348 nucleotides long. RefSeq lists it as uncharacterized. NCBI's taxonomy places the organism in Eukaryota, Metazoa, Chordata, Actinopteri, Mugiliformes, Mugilidae. The transcript has 3 exons. The record is from RefSeq and is a predicted model, not a curated record.
AAUAUAUCCACAUUAAAUCAUGUCUUGUUUUAGUCUCGUUACCUUGGGAACCAGUUCUUGGAGGAAUCAUUGGGAUCAUUGUUCUCAUCUGCUUGAUCAUCUUUGUUUGGUGGUUAAAGUCAAAGCAUCAAAGUCAACAACAGACUCAGAGUCAAAGAGGUGAAGAUCUGGUUGUUGAAGAAGCUGCAGGUGAAACAGAAGUAGAAAACAUCCAUUAUGGAGAGAUCAACUUCUCCAAGCAGAGACGUGACCCGUCCUCUGACUCAGUGCAGGACAGUGGACAGCAGCAGGACACGGUGUACACACAGGUCAAGAUCAAGAAACCAGCAAAGAGAUUAACACAGACUGUUGACGACACAGAUUAAGUCAAGAAAAAAUGAGAACUGUGGUUUGUUUGUGUUUAGAUUAAAUGUGCUGCAGGUUUUAUUCAUGCAACUCAUUUAACAACAGACAGGAAAAUGUCAUCCUUCAUUUCAAUUUCAAUUAUCACCACGUCCAUAUCUAUCUGCUGACCUCACAUACAGGAAAUGUUGUGUGAUUUGUAACAUAAAUCUUUGUGUUUUAUUUUCUUUUGUCUGAUUGUUGUUCAUAUAUUUCCAGCUUCUCACUUUAACUCACUCCUGUUUCUGGUAACAUGUUACAUGCAUUACACUCCAAUCUUCAUGAGCAUAGUUUGUUGAUUUUUUAUUUUUUUUCUUUCAUAAUAGAGGUAACAGCCUUGAAUGUGCAAAGUGUUUGAACCUGCAGCAAAAAUAAAAAGGGAAGUUGAAAUAUUUCCAUGUUUAACUUCAUGUCCUCUGUAGUUCAUUUCUUCACAGACUGUAUUAACCAGCAUGUCUGCAUUCAUUAAAAUAGUGUUCAGAUUAAGUGGGAUCCAUGUCUGUGUGAAUGCAUCUACGUCUUGUGUGAGAGCUCUGACUAACCAACUAAUCUAAACCAUAAAUAAUAAAACAUGGAGCAGGAACAGAGCUUAGAUCAGACCUGAGUUGAGAUCAGUUCUGUAGUUUGGAUUAAAAGUGACAGAUGAUGUAGUUAAAGUUUAUUCAACAAGCUGUAACUGAUGGUGAGUAGUGGUAGUAGUGGAGGAGGAGUGGAGAAUGAGGAGCUGUGGAUGCUGUGACAUCAGCGAGGAGGAGGAGGCCUGGAUGGAUCUGACGGUGAAAUGAGAAGUGAGAGCAGCAGAAAAAGGAAGUGCUUUUAAGAUGACAGCAGACAAGAUGAUUUGUCCACAGACAGAGGUGGUGAUUGGUUACAGUGAGGAAGGAGCACCAUACUGUACAUGUAAAUAGUGUGAUGUACAUUUCAGGACGGUGAGGUCCCCCUGGUGGAGAGAGAAGGUGCAGCACAG